AUUGUAACGACUGGCGGCGACUGCUUUACUACAUGCAAGUCGAACGGCGAGCACGGGCGUUCGGCCGUCGGUGGCGAGUGGCGAACGGGUGAGUAAUGCAUCGGAACGUGCCCAUUUGUGGGGGAUAACUACGCGAAAGCGUGGCUAAUACCGCAUACGCCCUGAGGGGGAAAGCGGGGGAUUCUUCGGAACCUCGCGCAAUUGGAGCGGCCGAUGUCAGAUUAGCUUGUUGGUGAGGUAAAGGCUCACCAAGGCGACGAUCUGUAGCGGGUCUGAGAGGAUGAUCCGCCACACUGGGACUGAGACACGGCCCAGACUCCUACGGGAGGCAGCAGUGGGGAAUUUUGGACAAUGGGGGCAACCCUGAUCCAGCCAUGCCGCGUGCAGGACGAAGGCCUUCGGGUUGUAAACUGCUUUUGUACAGAACGAAAAAGUCUUUAAUAACACUAGAGGCUCAUGACGGUACUGUAAGAAUAAGCACCGGCUAACUACGUG
Molecule: ribosomal RNA, 495 nt
Filed under: uncultured bacterium
Lineage: Bacteria
Description: bacterial SSU rRNA
Rfam family: Bacterial small subunit ribosomal RNA
Source: RNAcentral